AUUGAACGCUGGCGGCAUGCCUUACACAUGCAAGUCGAACGGUAACAGGUCUUCGGAUGCCGACGAGUGGCGAACGGGUGAGUAAUAUAUCGGAACGUGCCCAGUCGUGGGGGAUAACGUAGCGAAAGCUACGCUAAUACCGCAUACGAUCUACGGAUGAAAGCGGGGGAUCGCAAGACCUCGCGCGAUUGGAGCGGCCGAUAUCAGAUUAGGUUGUUGGUGAGGUAAAAGCUCACCAAGCCUGCGAUCUGUAGCUGGUCUGAGAGGACGACCAGCCACACUGGAACGGAGACACGGUCCAGACUCCUACGGGAGGCAGCAGUGGGGAAUUUUGGACAAUGGACGCAAGUCUGAUCCAGCAAUGCCGCGUGCAGGACGAAGGCCUUCGGGUUGUAAACUGCUUUUGUACGGAACGAAACGGUGAGCUCUAAUAUAGUUUGCUAAUGACGGUACCGUAAGAAUAAGCACCGGCUAACUACGUGCCAGCAGCCGCCGUAA
Molecule: ribosomal RNA, 498 nt
Filed under: uncultured bacterium
Lineage: Bacteria
Description: partial 16S ribosomal RNA
Rfam family: Bacterial small subunit ribosomal RNA
Source: RNAcentral